AAAUGACCAAGAAUGAAGUUGAGUGGAGAGUUUCACCCUGUUGCAAAGGUUGCGUGUGUGUGAGAGAGAGCGAUAGAGAGAGAGAGGUGGACAGAGAGUGAGCUGUGGAAAGAUGUACAUAGAGAAAGAUCCUGUAAUUGAAUCUUGUAGAUGUUAUUACACUCUUGAUCCAGGACACACACACACAAAGGAGUCAGAGUAAGUCACAUGAUCAUGUGUUAUGAAGUCAUCAAUGUAAUUCCAUGCUUUUGCUGAUGAGAUUUAUUUUCACAAAUGUCACAUCGUCUGUGAGAGCCCUUUGAUUAUUUCUUCAUCUCUCUCAAAAGAAACUCUAGAAAGAUCACAAAGGCAGGUGGUCCCUAGACUGUGUGUUCUUAUUUCCUAUGUCUCUAGUUUACAAGUGUUCACUAGUUUACAGGUGUUCAUUAGUUUACAGGUGUUCAUUAGUUUACAAGUGUCCAUUAGUUUACAGGUGUUCAUUAGUUUACAAGUGUCCAUUAGUUUACAGGGGUUCAUUAGUUUACAGGGGUUCAUUAGUUUACAGGUGUUCAUUAGUUUACAAGUGUCCAUUAGUUUACAGGUGUUCACUAGUUUACAGGUGUUCAUAGGUUUACAAGUGUCCAUUAGUUUACAAGUGUUCACUAGUUUACAGAUGUUCAUU
Molecule: long non-coding RNA, 661 nt
Organism: Ictalurus punctatus (channel catfish)
Lineage: Eukaryota; Metazoa; Chordata; Actinopteri; Siluriformes; Ictaluridae
Source: Ensembl